Molecule: long non-coding RNA, 1301 nt
Organism: Papaver somniferum (opium poppy)
Lineage: Eukaryota; Viridiplantae; Streptophyta; Magnoliopsida; Ranunculales; Papaveraceae
Exons: 3
Source: RefSeq, a predicted model, not a curated record
CGACCCUUAACGCGUUAUCUUGAUCCACAAUUGAAAACGAAGGACAGAGGAAGGACGAAUGUACGGUUACUAAUAAUACUUUCCUAGACAAAAUCGAACUAGAAACCCUAAUAGUUUAUAAGGAAUGGAGUGAAACUCAAAAUAUUGUCUCCCUGAAGAAGUUUGGCUACCGCUGUUUCAGGUACAAUGGAUAAUUUAUCUGUAGGAGAAGUGGAUAAAAUGCCACUGGUACCACAUUCUACACCACUGAUCAAACCAAAUGGACCUUAUGAUGUUCGGUCAACGUUUAUUUGUUCCAUCAGACUGUCUGUCAAACGAUUGUAUAAACUGUUAAUCGAAAAAAAAACUUUCUCGUGAAUUGAAUAUACUGAAUAUUUGCUUAUCCAACAGCAAAGUAAGCAUUGCCUCUCGAGUAAAUAUCCCAUCUAGCAAGGUACAGUUUUUGUUAUUUGUUUUUGUACUUUUCCGUUUUCCUCUAAAGUUGUUGUGACUUUUUUUAUUCUGUUAGCAGAUUAGUGUUAUAGUGCCCACCCCCGCCAAUGAACCAAUAUCCUUUGGGGUCGGUCACAAAACUCUUAUGUAUGGCCUGGGGGUAAUGAUACCAGGCAAGGAAAUUCAUCGUAUUGUUCUUUCUUACAUAGCGGAGGAUGACGUGUUGAAGCUUGAGGAUGGCCGAACUGAUGUGUGCAUCGACACAGUCCCUUGUACCAAAAAAGCAAAGGCAACCAUCGACACAGUCCCUUGUACCAAAGAAGGAAAGGCGUCCAUCGACACAGUCCCUUGUACCAAAGAAGGAAAGGCUUCCAUCAAUACAAUCACUUGUACCAAAAAAGGAAGUAAGCUAGUCACUUGUACCAAAAAAGGAAAGAAGCUAGUCUCUUGUACCCAAAAAGGAAAGGCAUCCAUCGAUACAGUCCCUUGUACCAAAGAAGGAAAGACAUCCAUCGAUAUAGUCCCUUAUACUAAAGAAGGAAAGGUGUCGAUCGAUACAGAAAUAAGCUAGUCACUUGGUCAUCUUAAUUGAACAACUCAUCUGGAUGCUGCAAAUCAUCUAUGUUGAUUCCUUGGAGAAGAAGUUAAAUUAUUUCUGUAGGCAAAAAAGGUUUCCUAUUAUAAUAUUUGCAAGUUUGUGUUUUAGGGGUUUACAGUUGUGUGGUUAACAGUAGUCUGACCUAUUUAAGAACUUUUAUUUACAAAAUUCAGUGUUUCAGCAUUUGCAUAAUUAUCCUUGUAAUACCUUUUAAGAGCAACCACAACUACAACCCAUCUUUAAUCUCUAAUGAUAUCAGCCUUUUUCUUUA